CGCAUCAUAGGGCAAAAAUCCAAAAAUAUCCCUGAUGUUUACCCCAAUUUCUCACUUCCACCCUAAACUAUUUUUUUUUAAAAAAAUACACUUAACGUUAUAAAAUUUGGGUCAACUGUGCCCCUCUCGUUAACGGAUCUGCCACUCAGACAAACGUGACCAACACCUAAACAAUUUUUAGUGAGAAGAUUGACACCUGGAUAAAUUUUUAUUACCCAAAAUAUUCAGAUUUAUUUUUUCUCUCUAAACCCUUUUCUCUGUAAACUCAUUUUACUCGGAUCUAUUUACCUUCUCCUCCGAAACUUUAAUUUCCUCAGGCACCGGUUCAAGCUCUCGCUUCUUCUCUUUCACCGGCUGCUCAUCUUCUUUCUCUCCGACGAAACAUUAGACAUCUCCAUAUAUAUCUUCCGGAGACUGUGCUUGAAGCUUAAUGUUAAGAAAAACUCCAAGAGCCUGCAUAAACCUUGGAUCCUUCAAAUAAAGAUUCAAAUUGUCGGGGGUUUUCUGAAGGUUGUUCAUCAUAUUAACAAAAUCUAGUUGUUGCAUAUAACCCUUAGUUGACGGGUCGGAGGUAAGAUCUGUUGGAGUAGAGGUCGUUAUUAUUGGGAUGAAAGAUGAGGCAGAGAUCUAAGUUAUUUUGCGUGUAAGUCGAUAGCUCUAUCAUGUUGGCUCUUACUAUCAUUGUCUAAGCCUUCAGGUUGUGUUUCAGUUUUCUGUAUUUUGUGUUUUGAUUCUGGAGUUCAUAAAAUUUUAUGGGAAUUUGUUUUUUCCUUAUCAGUAUUUGAGAUUUGAUGAUUGUGUUAUUUCUAAUAGUUCCUUAUUUUGUUACUUCAAAACUAAAAGUGAACUUUAUGAUUUUCCAAUUGCUUUUAGUCGAUGUUCUUAAUAUGGCCAAUCAAAAGAGAUUUAGAGUUUGGUUGGGCUUGAGCUCAUGCAUCUCUUGAUGUCGUUAAUGUGUGUUAAAAAAUAGUAUUCAGCUUUACUUUUUUGGCUACAGUGCAAAUUAUUGUAAUGUUGACGAAAAUGUGUUACAGUGUAUUAUCUUGUAUCGUGUAAUAAUGGAAACAUGGAGGUUGUUCAUCCUGGAUCUAAGCAGCUUCAUCCGAAUUUACAGAAAAUAGGUUUAGAGAGAGAAAAUGGCAGACACUAAAUAAUGAUCGGAUGAGUUUGAAAUUAAGUGGUUUAAUUUGUUUUAAUUAGGAGUUAAAAUUCAAUCUUCAUGUUUUGUCACUAAAAUUUGUCUAAUCACGUCAACCACGUUAGUCUAGAUGACAAACAUUAGAGGCAUUUUUAGAUAUUUCCCUCACAUAGUAUGCUUAGGUGAAUAUUCAAUAAUUAAAAAACACAACAAAUUAAUUAAUAACUAAACAUAAAAUCAAAAACAAAAAUAAGUCCAAAUCAAAUCAAAGCAUGCUUUUUCGUAUUCCUCUUCCUCCUUUAUUUUUUUCAAGUGAUAAAUUCCCUAAAAAAACCCUAAAUUUCAAGUUUUGUAUCAUUACGAAGCAACUAAUUCAACAUCUAAAACUUUUUCGAUCUUCAUAAUCCUUCAUCAACAACCCGAUUUUCCGGGAUGGAAUCACCGGUGUUGUGCAAUCAAUGAAGCAUUCUAGGUUUGAUUGAAUUGACCUUUUCUCUAAAAUCAUAUGGUUUCAAUAAGAUAGAGAGAGAAAGGUUUUACAGCUUUCCCUCUCCUACCCCUGAAAAUAGAAGAAGCCUACGUAACAGAGGAAAAAACAAAGAUUGAGAGAGGAAAUGAUGGGCGAGAGAAUUUAACGGGAUUUUUUUGCUGUUACGUAGAGAGAAAAUGAGAGAGGAAAGAGGGAGAAGAGGGAAAUUGUUUACACGAAUUCUAUUUAUUGACUUCUACACACCUAAUUUUUAUACAAAUUCUCUCUCCCAAAACUCUCUCUCUCUCCUUGUUUACUCUUUGAAAAAAUCAAAAGAAUUCUUUGCAGAAUAUUCUCAAUUCAUUAUCCUAUGGCCUAUGCCAGGCUCCGCCGAGUUUUUCUCGUCAACAAAGGGAAGCCAGAAAAAUAAAUAAAUAAGGGAAUUGAUAUUUUUACCUAAUUUUUUGAUAUUUUAACAUGAAAAGUGUCUCCAUAGGAUGCGACGAUUUUCACGUGAAAACAUCAAAAAAUCAUGUAGAAACUUCUAAAAAAUAAACCCAAAAAACUGUUGAAAACAAGUUAAAUAAUUUCACUUACCUUGAAGAAAACUCAAACGCAACCCAAAGAUUGAGACUUCACUUCAAUUAAGUGGCGACAAUUCAAAGCUAAUCUAAACCCAGAAACUCAAAUCUACAAUAUGCCAUCCACAAUUCCAUCUUCAUCUCCGUAAUCUCCGUAGAUAAAAAAAAGUAGAGAAUGAAAAAAAUUAGAGAGAUUUUUUUCUUUCUAAUUUUCACCCACACCACACUCACACACCCAAUAAUUGUAAUUUCCUCAUGACAGCCUUAUGGACGAAUUUUGGAAACCCACUUGUUAGUUCAAUAAAAUUAAGUUUUUUUUUGUCGUUAAAAGUCAACUGAUUUAAAAAGAUUUUGUAAUAUUUUGUUAAAAAAAUAUAAUACAAUGAGUUGAAUGAAAAAAAAAAUCAGUUCAAUUAUAUAUUUAAAAACUGAGAUCGAAUAUAAUGGACAAAAAUAUAUAUUUACAUCGACUUUAAUAUAAUGAAGCUAUUCGUUUUUGGGCUAUUUUAAAAAUAUAAAAAAACAGCCUUCUAGGUAGGAAAGUGAGGAGUAGGAAGGCAAUUAAGAUAGCUUUGUUGAAUGCCCCACCUGCUGUUUAAUGUGGGCCUUGUGGCCAUCGCCUAAUGGUAGCGGUUGGGUCAUGAUAUUUUAUUUAGUGGGCCGGAUGAACUGGACUUACUUAUUUAAUUAGUCUAUUAGGCCUCUACUAUUGGGUCUCAAUGUUAUUGGGCCUAGUCACUAUCUUAUUUAUGGUAAGUCUUUAUAAAAUCGGGUCAGAUCAUUGGAUUGACCCAUUAGAUAUUAAAUAUCUAUUACUGUGACCGGUAAUGAUGAAAAAGUAUGAUGGUUGACUGUUGUAACUGCAAAUCAUUAAUGUGGAUGGAAUUAUUACCGGCCAGCGGCAAAAACAGUGCAUGGGAAAGGUGACAGCCUGCAUGCAGUCGGCAGAAGAAAUCACUGAAGAGUAGGGGGCUAUGUCAGACGGUAAUAAGUGACAUGAUAAACCGGGCAAGAGAGUAUAACCUAACAAGGAAGUCUUCAAGCAAACGGUAUGUACACACACAUUCAACUAAGAUUUUUAUCUCUCAAGACUUUAGAUAUUUUAUCAUCCAUUGUUAACCCUUGUGAACACUGGUACUGACUCUCACGUCUGAGCUAUCCCCCGACGGUCGAAGCAGUCAAGUUUUUGGUGUUGAUCGUGUUUACUGUACAGGAUCAAGGCAUCUUACGUGAUUGAAACGUUGGAGAAGAUCUUGGCGUUAACAGUAACAAACGAGUUCCAGUUCCUGUGUCGUUGAUAAGAUUUCUGAUGGUCGUGCGAAUGAUUUUGUGUUUCUCUUAAUUAAUCGUCUCAUGUAUUAAUCGUCUCAUGUCGUGUUCGUGUUUGAUACCGCGUCUACCAAUUAACUAUGCCAUGACAAUUGCGCUAAAGUCAGUCAAUUGUGGCGACUCCAUCCUUCCAAUAUAUAUAUAUAUAUAUAUAGAACUACGUUGUCAGAUUUAUUUUUAAUUUUUUGAUUUGAGAGAGAAUUAUUUUUUUUAAAAAAAUAAUUAUAUUAAAACAACAUAAUUUUAAUAAAUUGUGAAUAAUAAAACUUACAUAACUGUUUACGGUACUACUGCCCAUAUAUAUAUUCUUGGCCCUUAGACCAAAAACGUGUGCUGACCUUCCAGCGUUAUAUUCUUUUCACAUUUUCCGACUGUUAUUUUGAUAAUAUUCCCUCUAUUAUACCUUUUUUUUAGAAACUAAUUAUACUUUUCAAACAUAUAGGCCAGAUCUCAGACGGACCUUAAAGGACGGACUAACAACGGACUAAGAGAAAAAAAUCACGCGGGUCAUAAAAAGGGGAGAAACAAAACUCGCGGGUCACAGCUGAAAUGGGGAAAACAAAACUCGCGGGUCACAAUUGAAAGGGGGAAAACAAAUUCGCGGGUCACAGCUGAAACGGGUCACAGCUGAAAGGGGGGAAACAAAUUCGUCAAAGCUGAAAGGGGGAAAACCAAACUGAGCUAAGCUUUUCCACAAAUUCCCUCUCUUUCUCCCCAAAUUCUGCCAAUUCUCUCUCCCCGAUUCGAGCACCACAAAUUCCCUCUCUCUCAAAGCGAGUCUGAAGCAAACCGGAAGGCAAAAAGAAGAUCGAANNNNNNNNNNNNNNNNNNNNNNNNNNNNNNNNNNNNNNNNNNNNNNNNNNNNNNNNNNNNNNNNNNNNNNNNNNNNNNNNNNNNNNNNNNNNNNNNNNNN
RNAcentral lists this long non-coding RNA (4430 nucleotides) under Panax ginseng (ginseng). RNAcentral describes it as "long non-coding RNA (PGIN_LNC018152)". The record is from RNAcentral. Lineage: Eukaryota; Viridiplantae; Streptophyta; Magnoliopsida; Apiales; Araliaceae.